Molecule: long non-coding RNA, 601 nt
Organism: Mustela erminea (ermine)
Lineage: Eukaryota; Metazoa; Chordata; Mammalia; Carnivora; Mustelidae
Exons: 3
Source: RefSeq, a predicted model, not a curated record
GCCUGGGUGGCUCACAGGAGCAAAACUUGAAUACUUCUAGAGGAAAAAAAAAAAAACACAAGCAAAAUAAACUCAGCAGGUACUUUAUUUCACCUCAACAUUCUAUAAAAUUAAUUCUUAAAGAGAGCACUACAGAGACCUAAACAGGUGAACCUGACUCAUAAAGCCAGAGUGAAGUUCCCAGGUAUCAAAGAGGACCUGGGUGUAUUUGAUCUUCCUACCGUGUUCAUGCCACACCAGCACUGUCUCCACAUCUUCAUCCUUACAAUUUCUAAUAGCCAUACCAAGGGGUGUACACACACACAAAAAGGGGGGGGGGUGUAAUUUGUUUUGACUCCAUGUAAAGUUGCCAGUAAGACUCCAGUUUAUUAAGAUUCUACCUGAUCUUUUGAUCUUUUCUUUCCUUUAUCCAUACAACAGUCUCUGUCAAGUCUGGCCCUAUUUCAUGUUUAUCUAAACAAACAUGGUUAAAACUGAUAAGAUGGGAGAGGGGGCAUUGCUCCCAAUUCACAGCAGUGACACCUUCAAGAAAUUAUCAGAUAAGAAAGAAACAUGAAUAAAAUUCAAAAGUCUACAUUCUAGGAGCAUCUGGGUGGCUCAA